Molecule: long non-coding RNA, 4556 nt
Organism: Gallus gallus (chicken)
Lineage: Eukaryota; Metazoa; Chordata; Aves; Galliformes; Phasianidae
Source: Ensembl
GUGAUGUUUGGGUUAAAUGGGGGAUUUUUGAAAAGAAAAGGGGUGAUUUUCACUUAAAUGUCGGAUUUUCGAAGAGAAAAUGGGUGAUUUUGGGGUUAAAUGGGGGAUUUUUGAAGAGAGAACGGGUGAUUUUUGCUUAAACGCGUUAUUUUUUAGCUAAAUGUUGGAUUUUCGAAGAGAAAAUGCAUGAUUUACCCUUAAAUGGCAGAUUUUCAGAAAUAAAAUGCAUGAUAUACCCUUAAAUGGGGGAUUUUCAAAGAGAAAAUGUUUGAUUUUCGCUUAAGUGCAUAGUUAUUUAGUUCAAUGGAGGAUUUUUGAGGAGAAAAUGCAUGAUUUACCCUUAAAUGGGGGGUUUUUGAGGAGAAAAUGUGUGAUUUUCCAAAUAAUUGGUGAUUUUUGAAGGGAAAAUGGGUGAUUUUCGGGUUAAAUGGGGGAUUUUCGAAGAGAAAACAAGUGAUUUUCGCUUAAAUGUGUGAUUUUUUGGGAUAAUUGGGGGAUUUUCGAAGAGAUAAUGCAUGAUUUACCCUUAAAUGGGGGAUUUUCGAGGAGAAAAUGCGUGAUUUUGGGGUAAAAAGGGGGAUUUUCGAGGAGAAAAGGGGUGAUUUUUGGGUUAAAUGGGGGAUUUUUGAAAAGAAAAGGGGUGAUUUUCACUUAAAUGUCGGAUUUUCGAAGAGAAAAUGGGUGAUUUUGGGGUAAAAUGGCGGAUUUUCGAAGAGAAAAUGCGUGAUUUUUGCUUAAAUGCAUGAUUUUUUUGUUACAUGGGGGAUUUUUGAGGAGAAAAUGCAUGAUUUACCCUUAAAUGGGGGGUUUUUGAGGAGAAAAUGCGUGAUUUUCCAAAUAAUUGGGGAUUUUUGAAGGGAAAAUGGGUGAUUUUCGGAUUAAAUGUGGGAAUUUUGAAGAGAAAAUGGGUGAUUUUGGGGUUAAAUGGGAGAUUUUCAAAGAGAAAACGGGUGAUUUUUGCUUAAAUGCGUGAUUUUUUAGCUAAAUGUUGGAUUUUCGGAGAGAAAAUGCAUGAUUUACCCUUAAAUGGGGGAUUUUCGAGGAGAAAAUGUGUGAUUUGGGGGUAAAAUGGGAGGUUUUCGAAGAGAAAAUGCGUGAUUUUCGGCUUAAAUGUAUGAUCUUUUUUGUUAAAUGUGGGAUUUUUGAGGAGAAAAUGCAUGAUUUACCCUUAAAUGGGGGGUUUUUGAGGAGCAAAUGUGUGAUUGUCCAAAUAAUUGGAGAUUUUUGAAGGGGAAAUGGGUGAUUUUCGGGUUAAAUGUGGGAAUUUUGAAGAGAAAAUGGGUGAUUUUCUAGUUAAAUGGUGGAUUUUUGAAGAGAGAACGGGUGAUUUUCGCUUAAACGCGUGAUUUUUUAGCUAAAUGUUGGAUUUUCGAAGAGAAAAUGCAUGAUUUACCCUUAAAUGGGGGAUUUUCGAGGAGAAAAUGUGUGAUUUUGGGGUAAAAUGGGAGGUUUUCGAAGAGAAAAUGCGUGAUUUUCGGCUUAAAUGUAUGAUCUUUUUUGUUAAAUGUGGGAUUUUUGAGGAGAAAAUGCAUGAUUUACCCUUAAAUGGGGGGUUUUUGAGGAGCAAAUGUGUGAUUGUCCAAAUAAUUGGAGAUUUUUGAAGGGGAAAUGGGUGAUUUUCGGGUUAAAUGUGGGAAUUUUGAAGAGAAAAUGGGUGAUUUUCUAGUUAAAUGGUGGAUUUUUGAAGAGAGAACGGGUGAUUUUCGCUUAAACGCGUGAUUUUUUAGCUAAAUGUUGGAUUUUCGAAGAGAAAAUGCAUGAUUUACCCUUAAAUGGGGGAUUUUCGAGGAGAAAAUGUGUGAUUUUGGGGUAAAAUGGGAGAUUUUUGAAGAGAAAACAGGUGAUUUUCGCUUAAAUGCGUGACUUUUUAGCUAAAUGUUGGAUUUUCGAAGAGAAAAUUCAUGAUUUACCCUUAAAUGGGGGAUUUUCGAGGAGAAAAUGCGUGAUUUUGGGGUAAAAUGGGAGAUUUUCGAAGAGAAACGGGGUGAUUUUCACUUAAAUGGGGGGUUUUUGAAGAGAAAAGGGGUGAUUUUUGCUUAAAUGGGGCAUUUUCGGCGGGAAAAUGGGUGAUUUUCGAGUUAAAUCUGGGAUUUUUGAAGGGAAAAUGGGUGAUUUUCCCUUAAAUGGGGGGUUUUUGAGGAGAAAAUGUGUGAUUUUCCAAAUAAUUGGGGAUUUUUGAAGGGAAAAUGGGUGAUUUUCGAGUUAAAUCUGGGAUUUUUGAAGGGAAAAUGGGUGAUUGUCGGGUUAAAUGGGGGAUUUUCGAAGAGAAAACAGGUGAUUUUCGCUUAAAUGCGUGACUUUUUAGCUAAAUGUUGGAUUUUCGAAGAGAAAAUUCAUGAUUUACCCUUAAAUGGGGGAUUUUCGAGGAGAAAAUGCGUGAUUUUGGGGUAAAAUGGGAAGUUUUCGAAGAGAAACGGGGUGAUUUUCACUUAAAUGGGGGAUUUUCGAAGAGAAAACGGGUGAUUUUCGCUUAAAUGCGUGAUUUUUUAGCUAAAUGUUGGAUUUUUGAAGAGAAAAUGCAUGAUUUACCCUUAAAUGGGGGAUUUUCGAGGAGAAAAUGCGUGAUAUUUGCUUAAAUGGGGCAUUUUCGAAGAGAAAAUGCGUGAUUUUUGCUUAAAUGCAUGAUUUUUUUGUUAAAUGGGGGAUUUUUGAGGAGAAAAUGCAUGAUUUACCCUUAAAUGGGGGAUUUUCAAGGAGAAAAUGCGUGAUUUUCCAAAUAAUUGGAGAUUUUUGAAGGGAAAAUGGGUGAUUUUCGGAUUAAAUGGGGGAAUUUUGAAGAGAAAAUGGGUGAUUUUCGGGUUAAAUGGGGGAUUUUUGAAGAGAAAACGGGUGAUUUUUGCUUACAUGUCUGAUUUUUUAGCUAAAUGUUGGAUUUUCGAAGAGAAAAUGCAUGAUUUACCCUUAAAUGGGGGGAUUUUCGUGGAGAAAAUGGGUGAUUUUUGGGUUAAAUGGGGCAUUUUUGAAGAGAAAAUGGGUGAUUUUCGAGAUAAAUCAAGGAUUUUUGAAGAGAAAAUGCAUGAUUUACCCUUAAAUGUUGGAUUUUCAAGGUGAAAGUGCGUGAUUUUCAAAAUAAAUGAGUGAUUUUUGAAGGGAAAAUGGUUGAUUUUUGGGUUAAAUGGGGGAUUUUGAAGAGAAAAUGGGUGAUUUUCGGGUUAAAUGGGGGAUUUUCGAAGAGAAAGUGGGUGAUUAUCGAGAUAAAUCAAGGAUUUUUGAAAAGAACAUGCAUGAUUUACCCUUAAAUGGGGGAUUUUCUAGGAGAAAAUGCGUGAUUUUCAACAUAAAUGCACGAUUUUUGAAGGGAAAAUUGGCGAUUUUUGGUUUUAAUUGGGGAGUUUUGAAGAGAAAAAGGGCGAUUUUCAUUUAAAUGGGCGAUUUUCGAAGAGUAGAUUUGUGAUUUUCGUUUAAAUGGGGGAUUUUCAAAGGGAAAAUGCAUGAUUUACGGGUUAAAUUGGGGAUUUUUGAAGAGAUAAUUCGUGAUUUAAAUUUAAAUGGGGGAUUUCCGAAGAGAAAAUGCCAGAUUUUUGAGUUAAAUGGGGGGAUUUUCCAAGCGAAAAUUUGUGUUUUUCACGUUAAAUUGGGGAUUUUGGGAUUUAAAAUGUGUGAUUUUCGCUUUAAGUGGGUGAUUAAGUGGGUGAUAAGGAGAAAAAUGGUCAUUUUUGGGUUAAAUGGGGAAUUUUUGAAGAGAAAAUCGGCAAUUUUCGCUUAAAUAGGGGAUUUUCAAAGCGCAAAUGUGUGUCUUUCAGAAUAAAUUUGGGAUUUUCAAAUCAAAAAUGGAUGGUUUUCCCUUAAAUUUGGAUUUUCAAAGGGAAAAUGCAUGAUUUUCGGGUUAUAUGGGGGAUUUUCGAAGACAAAAUACGUGUUUUUCGGGUUAAAUGGGUAUUUUCGAAGAGAAAAUGUGUGAUUUUCGGGUUAAAUGGGAGAUUUUUGAAGAGAGAAGGAGUGAUUUUUGGGUUAAUUGUGGGAUUUUUGAAGAGGAAAUUCAUGACUUUCGGAUUAAAUGGGGUAUUUUCAAAGGGAAAAUGCAUGAUUUCCCGUUUAAAUGUUGGAUUUUCAAAGAGAAAUUGGGUGAUUUUCGGGUUAAAUUGGGGAUUUUCAAAGGGAAAAUGCAUUUUUUUUCGGGUUAAAUGGGGCUUUUACGUAGAGAAAAUGCAUGUUUUUCAAGUUAAAUGGGGGAUUGUCGAAGAGAAGAUUUGUUUUUUUUUAGGGGGGUUAAAUAAGGGAUUUUUGUAGAGAAAAUUCUUGAUUUGGGGGUUGAAUGAGGGAUUUUCGAAGAGAAAAUGCGUGAAUUUCAGGUUAGAUGUGGGAUUUUCAAAGAAAAUAUGCGUCAUUUUCAGGUUAAAUGGGGGAUUGUCGAAGAGAAAAUUUACUAUUUUCAGUUAAAUGUUUUUUUUUUUUUUUUUUUUUUGUAGAGAACAUGCAUAGUUUUCAAUGUUAAAUGGGGGUUUUUCGAAGACGAAAAAAGGAAAGAUGAUAUUUUCAGGUUAAAGUGCAAAUUUUUUGAAGAGGAAUUUCAUGAUUUUCUUGUGAAAUGGGGGAUUUUUGACAGUACAUGUUUC